CAGUCGUACCGGCGGAUAAUCAGCCUUUUGGGUGUGAUUUUGUGGAGCGUGAGGAGUUUAACACCUUCAUGCUUUUGCAUAUUCGUGCUCUUGGGUGUACUUGCCCGUGUGGUUGGUUAACACCAAUUUCGGUCGUUCAUAAAAUGAUUGGAGGAAUGUAGCUUGGUCUCGUAUCGAAGUGUUAUAGACUCUGGUAGAUGUGACGAUUGGGGAUUGAGGAUUGCAGCGGAUACCUUCGGGGCUACUCGUCUGAUCUCUG
Molecule: ribosomal RNA, 259 nt
Filed under: Rhizophagus fasciculatus
Lineage: Eukaryota; Fungi; Glomeromycota; Glomeromycetes; Glomerales; Glomeraceae
Source: RNAcentral